UACGUAGGUGACAAGCGUUGUCCGGAUUUACUGGGCGUAAAGAGCGCGCAGGCGGUCGUUCAAGUCGAGUGUGAAAGCCCCCGGCUCAACUGGGGAGGGUCACUCGAUACUGAUCGACUCGAAGGCAGGAGAGGGUAGUGGAAUUCCCGGUGUAGCAGUGAAAUGCGUAGAGAUCGGGAGGAACAUCAGUUGCGAAGGCGUCCACCUGGACCAGCACUGACACUGAGGCACGAAAGCGUGGGGAGCAAACAGG
Molecule: ribosomal RNA, 253 nt
Filed under: uncultured bacterium
Lineage: Bacteria
Description: partial 16S ribosomal RNA
Rfam family: Bacterial small subunit ribosomal RNA
Source: RNAcentral